AUAAACAUGAGUGGAAGUGUGAUGAGUGAAGAUAGGAUUAGUGUGCUAAGGUGGUAGGGAACCAAGCUUUAAUCAUGAAUAAUGCUUUGUCCUUAAUCAUUCUUCCAUUUCAAGACAAAGCUCAUCACUUCACUCCCUCACACUUAAAUUCUCGGCCUCCCCUCUCUCUCUCUAUACUCUCUUUUCCUCCAUUGAUGUCCAUUGAAGAAAGCUUAGAGAAGCUUCAUCAAACACUACUAUGAGAUAAUCCACCAUCCAAUCCAAUCAAAUACUAUCAUAUCUCAUCAAAUUCAAGAAGCUAGAGCUAAGAUCAAAGUUGGAGCAAAGUCUUGAUCACCUUUUAAAUCCUUGAGCUUUGUGAUGACCAGGAGGAUUAGCGCUACUUUUCCAAGACAGGUUUAUAUGUGUAUGAUCUUCAGGCUUUGCCUAUCCAGGUUGGCUGGCUGGUGCUGACGGGACGGAGCUGAGGCUAGAGUUAAAAUUCAUAUGUUAGACUUCCGCUGUAGCAAUUACUCAUAUCAGUCUUUUGUUUUCCCAACUUAAGAUCUUCAUGUUAAAUUUCAAAUGAUAUACCUGACCGAGCUUAGACUCUUCACUACUAAAUUUAUGCCAAUGAAUGUCGGUUGUCAGAAGCAUGAAACAAAACUUGUGAUCCAAAGGGGCAUAGCCCGACUUUCUAUCCUAUUUCGGGUUUUUACAAGGU
Salvia miltiorrhiza (redroot sage) is the source of this 703-nucleotide long non-coding RNA. RefSeq lists it as uncharacterized. The transcript has 3 exons. The record is from RefSeq and is a predicted model, not a curated record. NCBI's taxonomy places the organism in Eukaryota, Viridiplantae, Streptophyta, Magnoliopsida, Lamiales, Lamiaceae.